CUACGGGUCGCUGCAGUAAGGAAUAUUGCACAAUGGGGGAAACCCUGAUGCAGCAACGCCGCGUGGACGAAGAAGGCCUUCGGGUCGUAAAGUCCUUUUCUGAGGGAAGAGGAAGGACGGUACCUCAGGAAUAAGUCUCGGCUAACUACGUGCCAGCAGCCGCGGUAAAACGUAGGAGGCGAGCGUUAUCCGGAUUCACUGGGCGUAAAGGGCAAGUAGGCGGUUAUUUAAGUUAGGUGUGACAUCUCUCGGCUUAACUGGGAGGGAGCGCUUAAAACUAGGCAACUAGAGGGCGGAAGAAGGGGGUAGAACUCCAAAUGUAGCGGUGGAAUGCUCAGAUAUUUGGAAGAAUACCAGUGGCGAAGGCGACCCCCCGGUCCGUGCCUGACGCUGAGAGGCGAAAGCUAGGGUAGCGAACGGGAUUAGAUACCCGUGUAGUC
Molecule: ribosomal RNA, 440 nt
Filed under: uncultured bacterium
Lineage: Bacteria
Description: partial 16S ribosomal RNA
Rfam family: Bacterial small subunit ribosomal RNA
Source: RNAcentral